This 369-nucleotide ribosomal RNA is filed under the name uncultured bacterium. Its description in RNAcentral is "partial 16S ribosomal RNA". It matches the Rfam family "Bacterial small subunit ribosomal RNA", at positions 338 to 724 of the family's 1533-position model. The record is from RNAcentral.
CCUACGGGGGGCAGCAGUAGGGAAUAUUGCUCAAUGGGGGAAACCCUGAAGCAGCAACGCCGCGUGGAGGAUGAAGGUUUUCGGAUUGUAAACUCCUUUUGUUAGAGAAGAUAAUGACGGUAUCUAACGAAUAAGCACCGGCUAACUCCGUACCAGCAGCCGCGGUAAUACGGAGGGUGCAAGCGUUACUCGGAAUCACUGGGCGGCAAGAGCGCGUAGGCGGGAUAGCAAGGCAGGUGUUAAAACCUAUGGAUUAAACAUAGAUGUGAAGUGUAAACUGUUAUUGUAGAGUAGGGGAGAGAGAGGAGGAAGACUGGGUGGAGGGGGAGAAUGCAUAGAUAGCAAGAGGAAUGCUGAGUGAGAAGGCGA